AACGGCAGCACGGGUGCUGUGCACCUGGUGGCGAGUGGCGAACGGGUGAGUAAUACAUCGGAACAUGUCCUGUAGUGGGGGAUAGCCCGGCGAAAGCCGGAUUAAUACCGCAUACGAUCUACGGAUGAAAGCGGGGGACCUUCGGGCCUCGCGCUAUAGGGUUGGCCGAUGGCUGAUUAGCUAGUUGGUGGGGUAAAGGCCUACCAAGGCGACGAUCAGUAGCUGGUCUGAGAGGACGACCAGCCACACUGGGACUGAGACACGGCCCAGACUCCUACGGGAGGCAGCAGUGGGGAAUUUUGGACAAUGGGCGAAAGCCUGAUCCAGCAAUGCCGCGUGUGUGAAGAAGGCCUUCGGGUUGUAAAGCACUUUUGUCCGGAAAGAAAUCCUUGGCUCUAAUACAGUCGGGGGAUGACGGUACCGGAAGAAUAAGCACCGGCUAACUACGUGCCAGCAGCC
This 459-nucleotide ribosomal RNA is filed under the name Burkholderia cenocepacia. RNAcentral's name for it is "bacterial SSU rRNA". It matches the Rfam family "Bacterial small subunit ribosomal RNA", at positions 65 to 516 of the family's 1533-position model. Lineage: Bacteria; Pseudomonadati; Pseudomonadota; Betaproteobacteria; Burkholderiales; Burkholderiaceae. The record is from RNAcentral.